Molecule: non-coding RNA, 4618 nt
Organism: Anas platyrhynchos (mallard)
Lineage: Eukaryota; Metazoa; Chordata; Aves; Anseriformes; Anatidae
Source: RefSeq, a predicted model, not a curated record
UCUGGUCUGAAAGACAGGGAGAGGAGAAAUGUUUUUGCUUUGUAUCCACUAACUUUCUUGGCAUGAUGAGCUCUCCAGCUAAUAAGCAAGUAAUUAUACAUAGAAAUACACAGUUCAGCAGCAAUACUGUCUGUCUGGAGCCACACUGAGGAAUGAGAGAAGAAAGUACUCCCUUCCAGCUCUGCCCAUGCCUCUGCCUUGCUCCUGGCAGGGGCAGGUAAACCCUGUGCUGGCAAACUCUGCCUCUCUGCUUCAGCACAUCCAUCCUGUGUCCCUGGUUAUUGCCAGCCCCAGCUUGGCUAAAAUGAUUAGGGGCAGCUCAGAGGAAAAAGAAGUGGUUGGUGCUUCUAUAAUUUCCUCCCACUAGGGUUUUUCUGUUAAUUUCUAGUAUGAGCUGUCUCACGUUACACGGCUGUACAGUAAUGGUGCUUCUAACUCUGGUUUGCCAGAGAAUUGUGUUAUAAAUAGUCAUGAUAAAUCGAAACAGUCUUUCACCAUGAGUUUUCUAAAAUGGCACAGUCUAUCAGGUUACAGAGGAAAGACAAGGAUGACGCUGUGCCUUAAGGAUAUAAGUGUAUUUAAGCAUUGAGUCACCAGGGAGCUGUGGUUCAGACCCACCAAAGGUGGUUUGUGAAAAUGUAGCUGUAGUGCAUCACCGGACAGGAGGGAAAGGGAUGUGUGUGUGGAGGUACAGACAGGUUCACACAAGGACAACAGUCACUGGAUCCUUCCUCAAGAGUGUUCAGCAGUGGCCAACAACAUCUGAAGAUGAAAGGACGUGAGUAACUUGAGGGGGUAACUCAUGGUCCAUGUAGAGCAUCCAGCAAGGAAAAUACCUCUGUGCAAAGUCUGACUGCCCGAGCCUUUUGGAUGGUGGCAGUGCGCAUGGGUUCCUGCCACCUUUGGGUUUCAAAUGCUUUUUGUUGUCGUGUUAGAGUGAGAGGCCAGCAGAGAGCUGCAGCACUGAUGAACAUGGCUCCUCAGAAAGCAGAAGGGAUGCUUCAGGCAUUGAAUGGCGUGCUCUUUUCUGCAGUCUGCCUGGAAAGCUGCUGAAUCUUUCUGUAACCGUCUCUACCACUUCUUUGUGGUCUGGGAUAAGUAGUGAGGGGGGAUUCUGGUGGAAAAAUACUUUUUUCCCUGCAGCUUUCUUUUUUCAUCCAAAAUGCAGAUGCUUACCUUCUUAAAGUGAAGGCAUCUCUGCCUGGGAACAAAAAUGGACUGAGGAGCUCCUUGUGUGCAAUUCUAAGGGAAUGAUAGAUCAGCUUCCCUUGCAAAGAUUCCCCAGACGAGGGUGGUCCUUGGGCAGUUGAAGUGAGCAGGUACCAGCUGGGGCAUUUUCUCACCAGUCAGUGGGCAUGUGAGACCACAGCCUAACCUGAGAGACCCCAUAAAAGAGCCUCUGCAGGAUGGCCUACUCCUCGUGUCAGGGUAUGGGAGAUGUAACGUGCUACCUGUGGCCAGGGUCUGUCUCCACCAAGGCCUUGAUGGCAAGACCCCAUCUGAGGUUGUCCUGUGCGUGUUUUACAUCAGCUCGUGACAAUCCACCCCAUGCUGCGAUUUGUGUUUGAAACAUCUCACAGGAAAAGUAGCACAGCCCUUUGGGAGAGCUGCUCGAGCAACAAGGCACUGGCUGAAGGCAUCUUCAAGAGCAGCUCCUGCACCCUUCCCAGCUCCCUGCUCUCCACCAUGGGCCAGAGAUCACACAAUUCAGAUCAUCUGCCCGACACUGAAAAGAUCAGUGAUCGAUGCACCCUUUGCUGACAGUGGCAGACAGCACCAACAGGGGAGGAUCAUACCCAGCCUUUUGUACCUGCUCUCGGUGAAAAAAACAUCCCUUUCCUCUGCACUCUGGGAGACACAUGCUAGAAGAUGGGGGCUGAGGCAAUGAAAGCAAACGAAAGAAAGGAGAACAAGUUCCUUUGACCAGCACCAGCUUGACAUUUUUCCAACUCACUUUUUACAGAUGAAAGGGAAGGUGGGAAAGAAGAAGAAAGCAUGAAUGCAGGAGGAGAAGGAGGCAGAGGAAAAAAAAGAUCAAAGAAAAGGUGAAACAGGCAAAAGAUGCUUCCAGUGGUGCCGAGACACUUGUCUGCACCCCUACACCAGCCCCUAUCUGUCCUAAAGCACAAGAGCAAAAAAAACAGCAGGAUCUCUGGCAAACUAGAUAUAUAGUCUAAAAAGCAUAAAGAUUGGUGGAAAAUGUUGAGUUAAAAGCCUGUGGUUUUAGUGCACAAGAAGCGGGAUGGUGUGCGAGUGUGUCAGCACUUGAGCUGAGGAAAGAAAAGUGGCCACACAUGGAGAUCACAGAGGAAGGGAUUGCAACGGGUUUCAGUUCUCCUAUGAAGACCAGUUAAACAUGGAGAAGACAGACAAUGGACAGAUUUCAUCCCGUCAUUGUAGCUUAGCCCGUGCUUCCCCAUCUUCCAGCAGUUCUCGCUUUGCAGGGCACUUGGUGCUGUUUCCCUGAUGUGUUUAUAGCAGCCCUACAGGGCUCCCUCUCCCCACGCAGACACCACACGCGCUGGCUCUCCCUUGCCCAUCCCAAUUCCCUCUGCUUGGCUCCUGUGUGCCUUAUCUCAUCACCUUGGAUCAGACCCUUGCUCUGGGCCUGUGCUGGGCUGUGUCAGUGUCUUCCCAGCUCAGCAGGGCACAGCAGCACCGCAGGAGCACCCCUGUGCUCCCAGCUCCUCGAUGCAGCCCUGUGCUGCAGUUAUAAUUCCCUGGGUUUCCCAUCCCUGCUGCAGUGCUACAGAGGCUUUCCCCUUCCCAACUCUCUUGCAGCACUCCAGGUCACCCAUUGUCUUUAAGGUUCCUCCUCCUUUUUUUUUUUUCCUUUUCCCUUCCUGCUUUCUAUUCCCACUCCCUUUUAGUAAGCAAUAGCAAGGGAAAUGCUGCAGCAAAGCUCCCAGCUGGGCUGCCCUCGCUUCCAUGUGUGUGCAUGGGGAGGGAGGAAGGAAGAGAUCAAACUUGGAGGCAUUCGUGGCUGUUGUGCUGCGAAGAAAAUGAGCAAGAAAGAGGUGACGGAAAUGUCAGGCCACAUGCUCAAGAGAUCACCGGGAACCACAGAUAGUUGCAUCAUCUCCGAGAAGAAAUAAAUGACAGCCUGCACCAGAUUGUAGCAUGAAAACAUUGACACAAAGAGAAUUAAUGUCCUUGUAACUGGACCUUGGCCUCACACACUUCUUCAAUCGUCUCUUGCCUGGUGACAUUGUGCCGGGUAUGAUUUGCUCUCUUUGAACACCACAUCCGUCCCGGAGACUGUCUACCUCAACGUAGCUGUGAAAUAUAGGUGAUGUAGUGCGUAUAAAUAUUGCAGGGAGACAGGGCUCAUUUGACAAGUCAGGGCUUGAGAAGGGACUGGAGACGCUGACUCCCAGCCGGAAGGAUGGGACAAAUCUGCUCUGCAGAAACGGCCUGUGGGGAAGGAAGGCAUCCCUUAGCCGUCCCUUUUGACAGGCAGAAUCACCGCAGGGCGCGGGUUCUUGAUGACAAGUGGGUUGCUUACAAGUGUGUCGGGAAGGCUGGCUCACUGUUGUGCUUGGAAACUCUAUUGUUCUGACUGUUAUGAUUCAUGAGGACUCAACAAAUAAUUAUUAAUUACCUUAUUUAGCAAAUGCAACGGUGUACCGAGGCUUUGGCACUAUCUUUUUUUUUUUUUUUUUCACUCAGAGUAUCCAUUGACAGGUGACAGCUUUUUCUAAUUAUUUAUUAUCCAGUUAUUUUCCCUUCGUUUCAAUGGACCACUCACACUCUCACUUUAUCUGCAUUUUUUUUUAUUUUUAUUUCUUCAAACUAUUCCUUAAUUGGAUGAGUUCAAAGCUACUUUUGGCACCAAUACUAUUAUUUGCUAAGAGAAAGCUGGGUUGUUUCACAUACUUUGGCAGUUUACUUUGAAAUUCAUUUUUCAUGAGCAUUUGUGCCAAGGAAACAUGAGCAUGUGCAUUGAAAGUUAGCACAAAAAAAAAGGGGUGUGAAGCAUACAUUUCUGGGAUUUUUUUUAAAGACUCGUUAUCCAGAUCUGUAAUUCAGAGUCAUUCAAACUCCGAGGCAUUAUUUCAUAAUCAAAUGAGAAUCCCCGAAAAAAAAUACUAGAAAGGCUAUGAAGCGCCCCCAAAAUAUCCUUAUCUUAAAAUGAAGAGUAGAAAAAAAUGAGACUCAUGUCUCACUGUUUUUUUUAUCACCACUCAGCUUCCUGGAUCUGCAAACAUCUCCUUGCCUUGUUUCCUUGCGCUGCUGCCAGCCUGCUUUGUGCAGAUGGGGACAGUUUUACUUUCCCUCCUCAGUGUCAGCUCCUGCUUCUCCCCAUGCCCUGGCAAAGGGGCUGCUCCUCCUGUCCGCCCAGUGCCACCCUCCUUCUGCCUACAGACCCUAUAGCCGUGUUGCCAGCACCCGCCAUGGGAAGGAUCACAUCCUUCUCAAUGAAGGGCUCAUUGAAUUAAAAAUAAAUAACAAUUAAUAUAAAAAUAAUAAUCAUAAACUUGCUCACACCAGACACCUUUGUAAGGUCUUUCCCCAUGCCAUCAUCUUUGGGAAGGACACCUCGGAGCGUGAAGCCCACGGUUUCUUGGCAAGUGUUGCCUUAGAUUGGCUGGGGAGGAGGAAUAAAAAAAAAAAAAAA